RNAcentral lists this ribosomal RNA (673 nucleotides) under uncultured beta proteobacterium. Its description in RNAcentral is "bacterial SSU rRNA". It matches the Rfam family "Bacterial small subunit ribosomal RNA", at positions 823 to 1501 of the family's 1533-position model. Lineage: Bacteria; Pseudomonadati; Pseudomonadota; Betaproteobacteria. The record is from RNAcentral.
UCGGGUCUUAAUUGACUUGGUAACGCAGCUAACGCGUGAAGUAGACCGCCUGGGGAGUACGGUCGCAAGAUUAAAACUCAAAGGAAUUGACGGGGACCCGCACAAGCGGUGGAUGAUGUGGAUUAAUUCGAUGCAACGCGAAAAACCUUACCUACCCUUGACAUGGCAGGAAUCCUGGAGAGAUCUGGGAGUGCUCGAAAGAGAACCUGCACACAGGUGCUGCAUGGCUGUCGUCAGCUCGUGUCGUGAGAUGUUGGGUUAAGUCCCGCAACGAGCGCAACCCUUGUCAUUAGUUGCUACGAAAGAGCACUCUAAUGAGACUGCCGGUGACAAACCGGAGGAAGGUGGGGAUGACGUCAAGUCCUCAUGGCCCUUAUGGGUAGGGCUUCACACGUCAUACAAUGGUACAUACAGAGGGCCGCCAACCCGCGAGGGGGAGCUAAUCCCAGAAAGUGUAUCGUAGUCCGGAUCGUAGUCUGCAACUCGACUACGUGAAGUUGGAAUCGCUAGUAAUCGCGGAUCAGCAUGUCGCGGUGAAUACGUUCCCGGGUCUUGUACACACCGCCCGUCACACCAUGGGAGCGGGUUUUACCAGAAGUAGGUAGCUUAACCGUAAGGAGGGCGCUUACCACGGUAGGAUUCGUGACUGGGGUGAAGUCGUAACAAGGUAACC